UACGUAGGGCGCAAGCGUUUGUCCGGAAUUAUUGGGCGUAAAGCGCGCGCAGGCGGUCCUUUAAGUCUGAUGUGAAAGCCCACGGCUCAACCGUGGAGGGUCAUUGGAAACUGGGGGACUUGAGUACAGAAGAGAAGAGUGGAAUUCCACGUGUAGCGGUGAAAUGCGUAGAGAUGUGGAGGAACACCAGUGGCGAAGGCGACUCUUUGGUCUGUAACUGACGCUGAGGCGCGAAAGCGUGGGGAGCAAACAGG
RNAcentral lists this ribosomal RNA (254 nucleotides) under uncultured bacterium. RNAcentral describes it as "partial 16S ribosomal RNA". It matches the Rfam family "Bacterial small subunit ribosomal RNA", at positions 524 to 776 of the family's 1533-position model. The record is from RNAcentral.